Molecule: ribosomal RNA, 1021 nt
Filed under: Thermotogota bacterium
Lineage: Bacteria; Thermotogati; Thermotogota
Also listed under: 1 other name
Description: bacterial SSU rRNA
Rfam family: Bacterial small subunit ribosomal RNA
Source: RNAcentral
AGGAUGAAGGGUUUGAUCCUGGCUCAGGGUGAACGCUGGCGGCGCGCCUAACACAUGCAAGUCGAACGGAGAAAGUCCUUCGGGACAAGUAUCAGUGGCGAACGGGUGAGUAACACGUGGGAACCAACCCCCCGGACACGGAUAACUACUGGAAACGGUAGGUAAGACGGGAUAAGCUCGGGAGAGGAAAAUCCAAGGGAUGCCGGGGGACGGGCCUGCGACCCAUCAGGUAGUUGGUAGGGUAAGAGCCUACCAAGCCAACGACGGGUAGCCGAUGUGAGAGCAUGAACGGCCACAAGGGCACUGAGAGACGGGCCCUACUCCUACGGGAGGCAGCAGUGGGGAAUUUUGGACAAUGGACGAAAGUCUGAUCCAGCGACGCCGCGUGAAGGAAGAAGUCCUUCGGGAUGUAAACUUCUAAGAUUAUCGAAUAAAGGCCAUGGGGGACCAUGGAGCUGAAGGUAGAUAAAGAAAAGCCCCGGCUAACUACGUGCCAGCAGCCGCGGUAAGACGUAGGGGGCGAGCGUUGCCCGGAAUUACUGGGCGUAAAGGGGACGUAGGCGGUUAAUCAAGUCAGGUGUGAAAUGUCACGGCUUAACUGUGGAAUAGCGCUUGAAACUGAAUAACUUGAGGACACUAGAGGAAGACGGAAUUACCUGAGUAGGGGUGAAAUCCGUAGAUACAGGUAAGAAGGCCAGUGGUGAAGACGGUUUUCUGGGGUGAUCCUGACGCUGAGGUCCGAAAGCUAGGGUAGCAAACCGGAUUAGAUACCCGGGUAGUCCUAGCCGUAAACGAUGCUCACUAGGUGUGGGUAAGAAAUAUCCGUGCUGAAGCGAACGCGAUAAGUGAGCCGCCUGGGGAGUACGUCCGCAAGGAUGAAACUCAAAGGAAUUGACGGGGACCCGCACAAGCGGUGGAGCAUGUGGUUUAAUUCGACGCUAACCGAAGAACCUUACCAGGGCUUGACAUGGAGAUAAAGAUAUAGAGAUAUAUUGGAUAUUACGCAAGUAAUAAAGUCUCA